Non-coding RNA from Chelonoidis abingdonii (Abingdon island giant tortoise), 2669 nucleotides. Lineage: Eukaryota; Metazoa; Chordata; Testudines; Testudinidae. The record is from RefSeq and is a predicted model, not a curated record.
UGCCUCUGAGGCCAUGAUCAGCCAUCUUGGAUGCUGUCAAUAGAGCCCCUUGCUGGUUUCAUUGAUCGAUUCGGUGUGAGUAGGUCGGUUUUGUUCAGAUGCCUGAUGAGAAAGGAAGAUAGAUGCCUUCAAUGCUGAGUGUUUCCAUCCUCCUUCCCAUCCUCUGUUGAAAGGAGGAAAGGACCAGCCUUGUGCAGGCUACAAGAAAUCUAUGCCAGUGACCCACCCUCAUUACACCUGCCUGAAGUGCCUCAAGAAGGUCGCAUUCAAGACUGCUGCCAGAUUUGCAGGACUUUAAAUCCCAGACAAAAAAGAAUAGAGAGCACAGCAUUGAGGAACCUCUGUUAUGAGGAGAUGACUACAUUGUUCAGCUAUAUUUGAGCGCAGGAUCCAGCACUUCAGAAAAGUAAUUGUUUUACCUCCACCAUUCUCAGAGCUGUGGCAGUGACUUCUGGAAGUGCAGCAGCUCCUGAAGGGGUCCAGAAUGCACAUCAUGUAGACAUUUUCUUCUGUCACAGUAGACACAAACCUUCCAUCCUGGGCUGAUUUGAUGAGAUUGAGUUCUUUUCUCCUCUUCUUGGGAAGCUCUGCCUAAAAGUCUUAGAGGUAGUAAGCUUAGAGGCAUUGGCAGAAUGAAAUAAAUCAUUACCUAUAGGGUCUCCUGGGGCAAGGCACUGUAGCUAUAUCACUGUAAUAUCAUAGUGUUGAUGCUUUCUACAGUGAUAGAAGGUUUUUUUUCCAUCACUGCAGGAACCUCAUCUCCCUGAGCAACAGUAGCUCGGUCAAAGGAAAUCGUCUUUGGUCAACAUAGUUGCAUCUACAGCAGGGAUUAGCUCAUCAUAGCUACAGUACUCAAGGGUGUGGAUUUUUCACAUCCCUGAGUGCUGUAGGCAGUGUCAACCUAACUUUUUUUAAGUAAAGACCAGGCCUAAGAAUCUAGAGGAGGAAGAAACAACUUGGUGGCGAAGACUAUCUGGGGUAGUGCUUCUCCUCAAAGUAGCAAAGCUAAGCUGCAUCCCAUUGCAGCCUGCAAACACCCCAGCUAUAUUUAUAACACAUGAUCUGGUUAACUCAGGCACUGGAACACAUUUGUUUUACCUCUCUUAUGGCAGAGUGAAACAACAGCAUGGAAACACCAGUGCUGAGGUGGCAUGAGGCAUGAUAAUUUUUGAUCUGUGUCCAGUUGUAGAAAUUGUUUGAAAGGUGAGUUUGAACUUUCACAAAGUAUGGACCAAUUAAAUGAUCAGGGAUUAAUAGAAGGGUGAAGCUACCAGUCAAAAGCUGUGAUGAAAGAAUGCAGUCAGUGGCCUUUAUUUAGCAUUGCUAAUUCCAUUCUUCACUGUCUUCUUACGAUGGAGCUGUUCUCUUACCCAUGUACCGUCAUCAGUUCCUGCUCCAUUCUUGUAUCUUGGCUCUCCCAGCUGACUUACAUUCAUCUCCUGUUCCUUUGACACUAUUCCAUUUGGACCUUGAUAGUUAAGUGUAGUUAUUUCCAGGGCCAGUGGUUUGCUAUUGAAAAGGCUUUGUAUACAGAAAGGCAGAAACAGCCUAAAAGAGUGUCUCCAACAGAUAAAUUUUACUCGUAAUUUCAUACACAAAUUUUGAAGGGGUGGGGGCGAUUCUAUGUGGUCAGCCAGGAGAACAGGCUCAGGGACUCUCUAACAGGAAGUUAAGGAACUAGUGUGAGGUCUUAGGUGAAUUGAGGAGAACCUGCAGAAACGGCAUCCACCAGAAAAGCCAUCUGGGAAUAUGUAGUAUAAUUUUUCCCCUGCCUUCAAGAGAGUGGUGCUGUGAAUAAGGUCAAUAGUGUGUCCUUCUGGGAGAGGCUGGGACUAGAGUAUUACUAUUUAUUUAUUAUCAUUAUCAUUAUCUAUGAAUUCCUGCAGCACCUAGGAACCCCAGUCAUGGACCAGAACCCCAUGGUAGUGCUGUAGGUGUUCUACAAACACAACAAAAAAUGGCAGGUUUGAGCUUCCGCACAUAGAGAUCCUAAAUCAUUCCUGCCCAUGAUGGGAUAGGAUUGGAGUAGAUGUGAGCUCCCACACAAUUGGUGCUCCUGCACAAUUUUUUAUAGUACCAUGAGCUAGGAGAGGGUAGGCCAGUAGUACCUGUGAGCUCCCAAACAGGGACUGAUUCUAUAGUAUCCGUAGUUAGGAGUGAUUGGACGAGAAGAUUUUAUGGCGAUGACAGUAGGUGGGUAUUUUUUUUUUCUUUUAAAAAUGUUAAUAACAAAAUUGUAGGUUAUACUUCAUCUGUGCUUCAAUUACAAGAUUAAUUCUAUGCAUCUGUCAUUCCUUCAUUAACUGAAAUAUUGCAGCAUACGCAUGCAUACCCUCUGUAAGAGAGUUCUUCUUGAAAUAAGAUUGCGCUCAAUGCAAGAGUUAUGUCCUGAGUGUUCCACAUGCAAAUUGAAGCAGCAAGUCUUGUGAGAAGGGGGAUAGAGGAAGAUGAUGAAGAGCACUGCUCUGCUGUGAUCUCCACUAUAGGAGUUAAACCACAGCUUCCCAGGCUCUGCUGCGUCUGCAUGAGAUAUGCAUACCACACCCGUCUCGCUGCACACCAGCCAUCCCCUCCUGAAGACACCCAUGGGGAAGCAGAAAAGUGAUGUCUGAAACCAUUAGACAGAGUCUGGUCCCAGGGUGGGCCAGGAUAGGAUUACAAGAGCCACU